RNA transcript from Sapajus apella (tufted capuchin), 956 nucleotides. It is a transcript of the gene named S-formylglutathione hydrolase pseudogene, with no coding region annotated. The transcript has a single exon. NCBI's taxonomy places the organism in Eukaryota, Metazoa, Chordata, Mammalia, Primates, Cebidae. The record is from RefSeq and is a predicted model, not a curated record.
UGGUAACUCUGCCGCCGGAAGAUUGUCUACCCUUUGGUUCAAGCAAAAAGCAAUCAACAAUUGGACGGGAGAAUAAUGACAUUGAAGCAGAUUUCCAGCAACAAGUGCUUUGGGGGAUUGCAGAAAGGUUUUGAACAUGUCAGUGUUGAACUGAACUGCAAAAUGAAAUUUGCUGUCUACUUACCACCAAAGGCAGAAACUGGAAAGUGCCCUGCACUGUAUUGGCUCUCAUGUUUAAUUUGCACAGAACAGAGUUUUAUAUCAAAAUCUGGUUAUCAUCAAGCUGCUUCAGAACAUGGUCUUUUUGUCAUUGCUCCAGACACCAGCCCUCAUGGCUGCAAUGCUAAAGGAGAAGAUGAGAGCUGGGACUUUGGCACUGGUGCUGGAUUUUAUGCUGAUGCCACAGAAGAUCCUUGAAAAACCAACUACAGAAUGUAUUCUUACAUCACAGAGGAGCUUCCCCAACUCAUAAAUGCCAAUUUUCCAGUGGAUCCCCAAAGGACAUCUAUUUUUGGUCACUCCAUGGGAGGCCAUGGAGCUCUGAUCUGUGCUUUGAAAAAUCCUGGAAAAUACAAAUCUGUGUCAGCAUUUGCUCCAAUUUGCAACCCUGUACUCUGUCCCUGGGGCAAAAAAGCCUUUAGUUGAUAUUUGGGAAAAGAUCAAAGUAAAUGGAAGGCAUAUAAUGCUACCCAUCUUGUGAAAUCCUAUCCAGGUUCUCAGCUGGGCAUACUAACUGAUCAAGGAAAAGAUGACCAGUUCCUUUUAGAUGAGCAGUUACUCCCUGAUAACUUCAUAGCUGCUUGUACAGAAAGGAAAAUCCCAGUUGUUUUUCGAUUACAAGAGGGUUAUGAACAUAGCUACUACUUCAUUGCAACCUUUAUUACUGAUCACAUCAGACAUCAUGCCAAAUACCUGAAUGCAUGAAAAACUCCAAAUAAGAGAAUCUCUUUAGGAUU